Molecule: transfer RNA, 76 nt
Filed under: Lachnospiraceae bacterium 7_1_58FAA
Lineage: Bacteria; Bacillati; Bacillota; Clostridia; Lachnospirales; Lachnospiraceae
Description: tRNA-Pro
Rfam family: tRNA
About the family: Transfer RNA (tRNA) molecules are approximately 80 nucleotides in length.
Source: RNAcentral
CUGGGUAUAGCUCAGUAGGUAGAGCGCGUGAUUUGGGAUCACGAGGUCGCUGGUUCGAGACCAGCUACUCAGACCA